AAGGCAGUGGAACCCUCACCAGCUGGAUUACAAAGAGCACAGAUGGACAGCAAGUGGAGAGUGAUAGAUGAGAUGAGGAGAUGAAGGAGGAAGACGACAAGGCCACCUCACAACAGUGAUGUAGGAGAUGUGUAGAGUGUGAUGUCCGACCAGUCUGCCGUUUGCUGUAAAGAAGGGAGUUCCAAAGCUCCUCAUAGAUGCUGUGAGGAGCAAACAACCGACGUGGUUAAAGGCUGGUCGCGGAGUCCCGAUUAUUAUUUAUCUGUUUACUUGUUGUUGUUUUUUUAUUAUAGAUAUUUUUUUAUUGUUUAUAUGUUAUAAGUGUAAUCCAAAAUGUCAUGCCAUAAACUAUCUCUAGCCGUUUUAUUGCUGGUGACAGUCAACUGAUAAACAUAAUCAGUCAAAGUCUAUCAUGAGACCAAUCCCUUCACUGGAAAUGACAAUUAAUCUUUCAAUGACCUGUAGCUUGCAGAUGUAAGCUUUCCAUCCACUAACAGUAUAAAAACCAAAUCGGGCUGUUCGAAGCACUGAGUAUUAAAGCUGAAAAUCCUUUUUAUGUUUUUAUGAUUCACAAAAGAUGCAGUGGCCGUGUUUUUCCCUAUUUUCGCUCACUUUAGGGUUUGUUCACAGUUAAUGUUGCCCUCUUGUGGUUCUUUUCUGAAGAAUACCAUGAUACCAGUUACGUUGCGCUGUUUUCAGAUUAAAGUACCCCAAAAUGCUGAAAAACAAAAACAAAAAAUAACUAAACAAACUAAGAAAAGAAAACAGCAUAUUGGAUCAUAAAAUACAGCUGCUGUUGGGCUUUAACAAGACUACAAAUGAUGAAGAUUUGCAACAUGGCAUAUUGACCUUCCUUUAAGACUCCAAGGUGAGGAUGUCUAAUUUUUGUAAAUUCUGCUGCCUCAACUCCUCCGCACAUCUCUGACAGGAGGGCUAAAAAUGUGAUGACAGGGGUCAAGGAUAGCGUUUGAAGGGGUGGGCAGACUGUGUGUGUGUGUGUGUGUGUGUGUGUGUGUGUGUGUUCGGUGCUGGUGUCACAACUGAAAACAAAGCUUGUCUGCCCUCUCUGAAGAAGAAAACUCUCCCAGAUGAUUUACUCCACAGCUGCCUACAACUCUUGAUUUAAACAUGAUCACAUCCCUGGAGAGUUUCUUUAAGGGAACUCUGUUGACCACUGAUGAUGGUCCACACCCUCUGAGCUGGCCAUAGCCAUCAAUAUGCCCAAAUAGCAGCCACGGGGAAGUUGAUGUCACGCAGGGAGCCCAUGCGUGCUAUGGGGUGGUGAACAGGCUUGACUUAGUGGUUAUGUUUUUGAAUCUUUCCAACAAUGUGCUGCAGAUUUAUUGGUUAAAACAGAAACUUCUUCAAACAAUGCUCCCGAUUUAAACUUCUCCUAAAGUCCAGCUGUGUGCCAAUGUCUCAUAUGAUACUGAUUUCUGAUAUCAGUGUAUACAUUAAGCUGUGUUUUUAUGGUUUUA
Molecule: long non-coding RNA, 1478 nt
Organism: Oreochromis niloticus (Nile tilapia)
Lineage: Eukaryota; Metazoa; Chordata; Actinopteri; Cichliformes; Cichlidae
Exons: 3
Source: RefSeq, a predicted model, not a curated record